Molecule: long non-coding RNA, 408 nt
Organism: Ornithodoros turicata
Lineage: Eukaryota; Metazoa; Arthropoda; Arachnida; Ixodida; Argasidae
Exons: 2
Source: RefSeq, a predicted model, not a curated record
UCAGGUAAUUUAUGGAGCCGCGAAAAAGAUCGUGAAGGUAUUCAUUUCUUUUGGUCUCUGGCCGCGCACUUUCUCGAUCAUUCUUACACGAACACGAUCAUGGGUAACGCUUCGGUGUACAUCGUAAUCCUGCUGUGCCUGACUGUCUUCGAACUCAGUGAAUGCCAGUCCUCAGCUUGCCUUGAGCCACUAGCUGAAGGGACUUGCGAACAGACUGUUACCAUGUACUACUUCGAUACAUUCACCAAAGUCUGCCGCACUUUUGCAUAUGGGGGUCACGGAGGAAAUGACAACAGAUUCGAAGACAAGGAGACUUGCGAAGCGACGUGUGCAGCCAGGACUGUCGACUAGGACUCGCGCGGCAGCUUUGAUAUCUAUUUGAAGGAAUUAAUAAACGAGUGAACGUAA